AACCGACGUCGUACUUAUCCGAUCGUUGGAACGAACUAAGACCUAUUGAAUUGCAGGAUUCUCCUCUGCUUCACUAAGGUAAUUGUUAAUUCUACCAAUGGAGACGUUAAAGCUGUUUUUGUUGUUGAACACCGGUUAAUUAAUCAAGAUGAUUUGCAGGUUGUUGAGAGGAUGAAGAGGACAAUGCCAUGGAGUGAUGAAGAGGACGAUACAUCUUCAGAUGAAUCUUCAACGCUUGAUACCGAUAUUGAGGACAAUCUGGGGUCCACCAAAAUUGACCCUAAAUUUAGUACUUCUUCUUCUUCUUCAAAAUCCUCCAAAGAUAAAUCUUCACAAGGUAACUUUUUUCCUUCUUUUUACCCCAUUUGCUUGAGAAGUUUAAUCUUUAAAACAUAAUUGUUAUUAACUCAAGGAUUUUUCUGCUACCCAACAAGAAAAAGGUUUACUUCUCAGUAAAAAUAUAAAGGGCAGCUCGGUGCACUCCGUGAAAGAGCCAGACCACGAGGGUUUAUCGUGUGCAGCCUUACCCUGUAUUUCUUCAAGAGGCUGUUUUCACGGCUCGAACUCACAUG
RNAcentral lists this long non-coding RNA (572 nucleotides) under Nicotiana benthamiana. RNAcentral's name for it is "long non-coding RNA (NBEN_LNC041191)". The record is from RNAcentral. Lineage: Eukaryota; Viridiplantae; Streptophyta; Magnoliopsida; Solanales; Solanaceae.